Molecule: long non-coding RNA, 1261 nt
Filed under: Ananas comosus (pineapple)
Lineage: Eukaryota; Viridiplantae; Streptophyta; Magnoliopsida; Poales; Bromeliaceae
Description: long non-coding RNA (ACOM_LNC040859)
Source: RNAcentral
CUUGUGUGCAAAAUUAUAAGUUUAUUACUAAGGGCCCGUUUGGUUCAAGUUAUCCCGGCAAGAUUACAGGCAAUCCUGCCAGGAUAACUGUGUUUGGUUAAUCCGCUAUGUAAUGUAGUCGUUAAUGUAACAUUACAAAUCGAACAGGAUUACAUCGAAAAUAUUAAUGGGAGGGGGGUCGUGUAUCUUGCAUUAUUGAAACCCGUUAAUACUACAUAUUAUGUAAAAUGACAAUUUUACCCUCCAACAACCCCAAAUCUAAUUAACUGUAUUAUUUUCAUCUCUCUCGCCUUCCCCCUCUCUCUCGCAUGCCCUUUUCUCUCGCUCUCUCUCUCGCCUUCUUCCCUCUCUCUCGCACGCCCCUUUCUCUCGCUCUCUCUCUCUCACGUCUCUCUAUCUAUAUCUCUUUCUCUCUCGUGCACGAACACUUAUAAUUUUCUAUUGCAUCGUUGGUUUAGACUUUUUUAGUUUUUUUUUAUUAGUGCAAGAACUUUUAAAUUUUUAUAAUGUAAGUGUUUAAGCUUUCACUUUUGGAUGCUAUUAUAAUGUGUGUGGAAGUUUCGACUUUAUAAAAUAUUUAUUCUAUAUGGUGCUUUAUUAAUUUCUUAACUUGGUAAUAGUACUGUUUGAUAUUAAACAUGAAAAAUAUAUAUUCUAUAUGUUUGGUUAAUGAUUUUGUUUAUAGAUGAGUUUUAAAAUUGAAAUUUAUUUGUUAUUGUAUGAUUUUUCAUUAUGUAUAAUGAUCUUUUUUCUAUUUAUUCUUUUAUGGGUUGAAAUUAAUUUUUUGCAACGUUAAUUUUUUUUCAUGUUAGGUCUUUUUAUUUUAUUAAUUAUUAAUAUAAUUAAUUUACUACUGUAAAUUAUAUUUUUGUAAAUAAAAUAAUAUUCAACUGACCACAAUAAGGGCAAUUUUGAAAAAAACUAUGCUUUUAUGUCAGGAUUACUAAAUUUUAUAAGCUGAACCAAACGUAUUAAUGUUAUAAACACUGUAAUCUAGUAUUACAUUACUGCAUUAAACCAAACGCGUUAAUGCAGCAUCAGUAGUAAUCUCACGCCGAAAUCUAAGAUCCCUGGAUAUGUCAAGAUACUUUGUAAUAUUACAUAACUCGAACCAAACGGGUCCUAAGAGUGUAAAUAGACUGCAAAAAAGAAAAGAGAAUAGUUGAUAGCUUUAAAAAAAAAAAUUAGUAAUAUAUAAAAAGUGAAAAAAUCUGUAAACUACAACAGUAUCGUAUAGUGUAAUCAAGUCAGUAAAAAAUUU